This is a long non-coding RNA of Helianthus annuus (common sunflower), 891 nucleotides long. RefSeq lists it as uncharacterized. The transcript has 3 exons. NCBI's taxonomy places the organism in Eukaryota, Viridiplantae, Streptophyta, Magnoliopsida, Asterales, Asteraceae. The record is from RefSeq and is a predicted model, not a curated record.
AAAAGAAAAAGAACAUGAGCUACUUACCUCUGCUUCUAUUGAAACCCAUAAAGAAACUUAACCGUGAAACAAGAUUGUGAUAACCUUUUGUGAAGACAAGGCGAUGUUGGUUUGGAGAUAACAUUCAGUCCAAAGACAUACUUGCAGUCACUUCAACAUCCAUCUCCGAAUACAAAGGAAUGCUACACCUAGAAAUGACACCGGCAACUACAGUGGCAAUCAAUCAAAGCAUGGAAAGCACACUGUAAUUUUGGUUGUCAUUGUAUAAUAAAAAAAAUCACAAUCAGUUGCUUACGUCUGUACGCCGUGUUUUUAUGCCGCCGGCCCGCCGCAACGCGCGGCGGGUCAAAAUUCUAGUUAUCUUAUUAGGAGAAAGAUGGGGCCAAGCCCACCGAAAGCAUACGGCAGCAACAACAUUAUAUUUGGAUGGCAAUACAUUGGGGAGCCAUAUUAAACUAUCAUGGGCCGAAUCAUUCUGCGGGCCACCAAAAUAUACCAAUCCAGUAGCAUUUACAUGAAAUUGGAAUAUUGGGCCUUUAGACAUAUGGACGACACGUCAGAAGAAAAAAAAAAGGGAGCCGCGCAUAAUAGGGUUUUGCACAUAUAUAAUUAAAUCGAUCAGAGGAGGGCUGCAUCGAAUUCGAAAAAGAAGAUUAGAUGAACGAAGAUAAGCAGGAGCGAAUUGUUUUACAAGAAAUCAAGCUUUGGAAUCAUUGGGGUCAAGGGGGAAGCAUAGAGAUCAAGAAAUUUUACGGGUUCUACCUUACGAUUUCUUUUAUUUUCUAGUUUCUUGUUUUUACUUCGAUGAAUUCUUGUUUGAGAUUUUGUUUGAUUGUUUUUAAGACUAUGAUUCUUGGCUAAACGUUCUUUUAACUACCUAGGUUAUGACAA